RNAcentral lists this long non-coding RNA (226 nucleotides) under Manihot esculenta (cassava). Its description in RNAcentral is "long non-coding RNA (MESC_LNC001282)". Lineage: Eukaryota; Viridiplantae; Streptophyta; Magnoliopsida; Malpighiales; Euphorbiaceae. The record is from RNAcentral.
UGGAGCCAGAGACAUCAGACAGUGGUUCAAUGACAAGUGGUCCUGUAUCUGGACGUGGAGGCAUGGGUGGAGGUGCAGGUGCGCGGAGCACACGAGGACCUGCUUCUGCCGCUGUGCGCCCCUUACCUGCUUUGAAGGAGAAUGUGAAGCGGGUGAUGUUUUACUGCUAGGUUAUUCAGAUGACCCAGUACCUACCUUAUCAUAUUUGGAUUGUUAUGUAGGAUGA